GCUGGGAGGUGUAGUCCCUCAGGGAAGCGGUCGCGAUUCUUCGGGGUGGGGUCCCCGAGCUUGGGGGGUUCCAGGCUUUGGGGCAGGCUUCGGGGCAGUUACCUGGCUGGGAGGUGGCGGAAGAACCUGACUUCCCACUGCCUGGCGCCGGCGAGAUGCGGGGGCAGGUCUGAGGCCCCGGGUCGCCGCUGUCUCUGCGGUUGGGGGAAGUCACCCAGCUAGCGUGGGACAGGGUCGGCACCCCCAGCAGGAAACAGCAGCGACGAGCCAGAGCGGAGUCGCCUGCAGCUGCGCGCAGGACGUGCACAGGUGCGCGGUACGCACAGGCCCUAGGGACCCGGUGGGGAUCUUAAGCACCAACGAACAGUCAGACCUAACUCAUAAACAAACAUCAUCACGGCCUGCCCUGUCAGAAGCGCAGCCAAGCAACAACAACAACAAAAAAAGGCGAGGAGGUAGACCCACUUGAGAUGGUUCUGUUGCGGAGAGUCUCUGAAAUCAGAAAGCGCCAGUCCGCAAAAACGAGGAAACCCGACGUGUCCGGCGGAAGGAACCGCCAGUACAAAGGCCCUGAGGCGAGAAAGAGAUUGGUCACUGAAAGAACUCAAAGAAGUCCUGUGUGGCUGGAGUAUAGCUGCGGGUUAGUGCUGGCAGGUGAAGACAGAGAAGCAAACCCAGGUCAGGUCCGGUUGGGCCUCGGGAGGGCCUCCGUGUGGAGUCUGCACUUCAUUCUAAGUGUAUACCUAACCCAUCGCCACGAUUUCCCCUCCUUCACACUACCCUGCUACGUCUCCUUAUUAGGCGUAAUAAAAUUAUGUGGCUUUGUAAGAAAUUGGUUUUUAGAGAUGCAUGUUAAAGUAUUGGGUAUGAAAUGUCAUGAUUUGUCUAAUUUACUUUAAAAUACUUCUGCCAUAAUAAAUGAAUAGAAUUAACAACUUGAUAUUAGUUGACAAUAUCUAAUAAUAUCUAAGUUAUUAGAAAUUAGUUAACAGUAACUUCUUUUUUUGAGACAGGGUCUCACUGUGUCACCCAGGCUGGAGUGCGGUGGUGAAAUCUCGGCUCACUGCAGCCUCCACUUCCCGGGUUCAAGUGAUUCUCCUGCCUCAGCCUCCCGAGUAACUGGGAUUACAGGCGUGUGCCACAUGCCUGGCUAAUUUUCAUAUUUUUAGUAGAGAUGAGGUUUCGCCUUGUUGGCCAGGCUGGUCUUGAACUCCUGACCUCAAGUAAUCUGCCCGCCUCGGCCUCCCAAAGUGCUGGGAUUACAGAAGUGAGCCACCAUGCCCAGCCAACAGUAACUUCUUAAUAUCAUCUAAUAGCUAGUCCACAUCCAGAUUUCCCCAAUUGUCCCAAAUAUAUAUAUAUAUACACAUAUAGACAGGGUCUCACUCUGUCCCCCAGGCUACAAUCAUGGGUCAUUGCAGCCUCCGACCUCCCGGGCUCAAGUGAUCCUCAGCCUCAGCCUCCCAAGUAGCUGGGACUACAGGCACACACCACCACGCCUGGCUAAUUCAUGUUUUGUAAGGAUGUGGUCUCACUAUGUUGCCUGGGCCAGCCUCAAACUCCUGGGCUCAAGCCAUCCCCCGACCUCGGGGUCCCAAAGUGUUGGGAUUACAGGCGUGAGCCACCGCGCCUGGCUGGAUUAUAUCUUUUUAAUAAUUUUAAAUCUAGAUGAAACCACCUUCCCUCUCCCACCCACUUCAUCCCCUUCUUUUAUCUUCAUGAUACCUUUCUGAAGAGUCUCAGCCAGUUGUUGUUUGAGAUAGAUGCUGCAUCACAUUCUCAAUUUGUCUGAAUGUAUCCUCAGGGUGUCACUGAUAUUGUCACAGAGAUUGGUCCUCUAUCUGUGGUUCAUCCUGCAUGCUGGGAAUUAGAUCUAAAGGCUUGAUUAUAUAAAUAUUCAGGGAUACUUCCUAGGUGCUGCUCUGUACUUCGUUGUUUUUUGUUUUGUUUUGUUUUAUUUGAGAUGGAGUCUUGCUCUGUCACCCAG
This 1987-nucleotide long non-coding RNA is filed under the name Homo sapiens (human). RNAcentral describes it as "non-protein coding lnc-MAN2C1-6:4". Lineage: Eukaryota; Metazoa; Chordata; Mammalia; Primates; Hominidae. The record is from RNAcentral.